UGCAUUGAUCUCACUUUGAGUCAUCACUUGUUCGACAUAAAAUAAUAGAAAUAAAGUGAAACGAAGUAAAGUGUUCAUUUUAUUUUUUAUUUUUCUCAUUAUGAUGAUACUCAGUUUUCCUUAUUUAUUUCUUAAUUCAUUUUGCAGAUUCAAUUCCCCUUCCAUAUUAUUAGUAUUUUUUUAUUUUAUUUUAUUCAUUAUUUUUUAUUUUUCAGAAUGUGUUUUCUGAAUACCUCUCACUCGAUAUGAGCCUUCACAGCUCACGUUAGGCGAGAGGUCAUGAUGCAUGUCUUUAGACCGUCGGAGGAAACCAGAACACCUGGAGAAAAACCCCACUGACACGGAGAGAACAUGCAAACUCUACACUUCAUAUCGCAUGAGGGGACGGUGCUACACUUCAUGUCGCAAGAGGUGACGGUGCUACACUUCAUAUCGCACGAGGUGACGGUGCUACACUUCAUAUCGCACGGGGUGACGGUGCUACACUUCAUAUCGCACGGGGUGACGGUGCUACACUUCAUGUCGCACGAGGUGACGGUGCUACACUUCAUGUCGCAGGAGGUGACGGUGCUACACUUCAUAUCGCACGAGGUGACGGUGCUACACUUCAUAUCGCAUGAGGUGACGCUGCUACACUUCAUAUCACAUGAGGUUACCACCUCAUGUGAUAUGAAAUGAGGCAUUCUAUGCGAUUAUACCGACACACACCAUAAACCGCUACAGCCACAGCGGUGAUGCCAGCGCACCAAGCUACUCCCCGAAGAACUUUAGCAGUGCCGGGCCACCAACUUCUGGUGGGACC
Long non-coding RNA from Sebastes umbrosus (honeycomb rockfish), 802 nucleotides. RefSeq lists it as uncharacterized. NCBI's taxonomy places the organism in Eukaryota, Metazoa, Chordata, Actinopteri, Perciformes, Sebastidae. The record is from RefSeq and is a predicted model, not a curated record. The transcript is spliced from 3 exons.